Molecule: ribosomal RNA, 492 nt
Filed under: uncultured bacterium
Lineage: Bacteria
Description: partial 16S ribosomal RNA
Rfam family: Bacterial small subunit ribosomal RNA
Source: RNAcentral
AGUGAACGCUGGCGGUAGGCCUAACACAUGCAAGUCGAACGGCAGCACAGUAAGAGCUUGCUCUUACGGGUGGCGAGUGGCGGACGGGUGAGGAAUACAUCGGAAUCUACUUUUUCGUGGGGGAUAACGUAGGGAAACUUACGCUAAUACCGCAUACGACCUACGGGUGAAAGCAGGGGAUCUUCGGACCUUGCGCGAUUGAAUGAGCCGAUGUCGGAUUAGCUAGUUGGCGGGGUAAAGGCCCACCAAGGCGACGAUCCGUAGCUGGUCUGAGAGGAUGAUCAGCCACACUGGGACUGAGACACGGUCCAGACUCCUACGGGAGGCAGCAGUGGGGAAUAUUGGACAAUGGGCGCAAGCCUGAUCCAGCCAUACCGCGUGGGUGAAGAAGGCCUUCGGGUUGUAAAGCCCUUUUGUUGGGAAAGAAAAGCAGCAGGUUAAUACCCCGCUGUUCUGACGGUACCCAAAGAAUGAGCACCGGCUAACUUCGUG